GCACACGAGGGGGAGAAAGCGUUUGAGAGGCUCGCUCAUUACAACAGACGGCCCCAGCGAAACAGGCAGGCACAGUGGCAGACUGUUUUAAUUUAUUACAGGAACCAUGAGGAUAAUGCACUUUUCUAUUUGUGCUUUUAUCCGCCCCAACAAUAGGACGUUUUGAUUGAGGUGAACAGGUAGAACGUGGCAAUACAAUUUUUUUUACUUGCACAGCCUAGACAAAGGGUCACAAAAUGCCAGAAGACGGUUGCUGACUGCAAGACCACCUGUCAAGACCUGCAGUUACCUGUGGGGGCCCUACUGAACCAGCAAGCAAAGACAUCAGGAUGCAUUACAGCUUUGAUUUUGCUCAACAAGUGCACUAGCCUGCAGCCAGGUCCCAUCUACUUCUUUACUCCUCGGAAGUGUGGCUUGUUUGGUGUCUGCUGUGAAGGAAUACCACAACAAGUCAACUACUUGAUUGAUGAAGGCAUGUUGUCCAGCAAAGUGAAGGACAGCACUCUGACAGGGGUCAACAUCCCACAGCUGGUUGGACUGGAGGAUGGUACGGUGCUGGUGGAAAGCCAUAGCUGAAAACAACACCUGACUCUCUACUUCAGGCCGCUGCUACAGAUCUUUUCGGCGCCGACUGAGAUGGCCGCCUCGCUUCGCGUUCCUAGGAAACUAUGCAGUUUUUUGUUUUUUUACGUGUUAUUUCUUACAUUAGUACCCCAGGUCAUCUUAGGUUUCAUUACAUACAGUCGAGAAGAACUACUGAAUAUAAGAUCAGCGCCAACUCACCAUCAGUACGACCAAGAAUAUGUUUUCCGCGAUGCGGAUCCGGUGUUCUGCCUUACAAACAGGACAACGGAAUGGAUCGCAUGCAGCGACCCAAGGAAACGACUCCGAAAAAGAGGGAAACGAGGCGGUGUUCUGGUCAGACUCCGAAAAAGGGCACAUCGCGCACCACUCCCCAGCAUUCUUCUUGCCAAUGUCCAGUCUCUUGACAACAAGGUUGACGAAAUCCGAGCAAGGGUAGCAUUCCAGAGGGACAUCAGAGACUGCAACGUUCUCUGCUUCACAGAAACAUGGCUUACUGGGAAGACGCUAUCCGAUGCGGUGCAGCCAACGGGUUUCUCCACGCAUCGCGCCGACAGAAACAAACAUCUUUCUGCUUUGAUGCUCUGGAACCUGGUGUUGUCGGCAAGGAGCGUUCGGACUCAGUCAGGACCAGGUUUCAGCAGCUGUGCAACGCUGACAUCCUUCCUCCCAUAGAUGGUCUGCCUGUACAAGCACCACCUGGACUGGACACAGCUAGACAAACAUAUAUUUUUGAGAAGAUAAGGGAGUUUUGUUACAAAGAGACUAUGGACGUCACAUGCCCUGCAACAAAGUCAAGGGCAGGACAGAAACAGGCUCUCCGAAUAUAGAUUCCCUUGUUCAUGCAUGGUUCGGACAGACCAGUCAUGUUUUACUUUUACUUCACUACAUUCUGAAUAGAAAUAUGUAUUUUUUACUCCAUGCAUUUUCCUGACACCGAAAGUACUUGCUACAUUUUGACAGGAAAAUUGUUCAAUUCACACACUAAUCAAUAGAACAUCCCUGGCCAUCCCUACUGCAUCUGAUCUGGCAGACUCACUAAACACAAGUCCUUUGUUUGUAAAUUACGUAAUAAAGAA
Molecule: long non-coding RNA, 1661 nt
Organism: Oncorhynchus nerka (sockeye salmon)
Lineage: Eukaryota; Metazoa; Chordata; Actinopteri; Salmoniformes; Salmonidae
Exons: 3
Source: RefSeq, a predicted model, not a curated record